UCGAAAGUUUACGUAUGUUCAGAUGCAGAUCUUGGCGAAGUUCUAUCGCGUUUUUGCGUGAGGUUACGUAAGAGUUACGUAACGCCGGUUAAAAGAACCCGAAUGUGAUUACGACAAGAUCCUCCAUAAACUGAACUGAUGGUAGUUAAAACAGAGAAUAUUGUCGAGGAGCAAAUGGAAAAUCUGGAAAUAAUUAUAGUAAUAAAAAAGCAGGACAUGGAAGGGA
Molecule: long non-coding RNA, 226 nt
Organism: Pocillopora damicornis (cauliflower coral)
Lineage: Eukaryota; Metazoa; Cnidaria; Anthozoa; Scleractinia; Pocilloporidae
Source: RefSeq, a predicted model, not a curated record